UGGGGGAUAUUGCACAAUGGGGGGAACCCUGAUGCAGCGACGCCGCGUGGGUGAAGAAGCGCCUCGGCGCGUAAAGCCCUGUCAGCAGGGAAGAAAAUGACGGUACCUGAAGAAGAAGCCCCGG
RNAcentral lists this ribosomal RNA (124 nucleotides) under uncultured bacterium. RNAcentral's name for it is "partial 16S ribosomal RNA". It matches the Rfam family "Bacterial small subunit ribosomal RNA", at positions 355 to 496 of the family's 1533-position model. The record is from RNAcentral.